RNAcentral lists this non-coding RNA (117 nucleotides) under Macaca fascicularis (crab-eating macaque). Lineage: Eukaryota; Metazoa; Chordata; Mammalia; Primates; Cercopithecidae. RNAcentral also lists the same sequence under 2 other names. The record is from Rfam by way of RNAcentral.
GCCGGGCGUGGUGGCUCACGCCUGUAAUCCCAGCACUUUGGGAGGCCAAGGCGAGUGGAUCACCUGAGGUCAGGAGUUCGAGACCAGCCUGACCAACAUGGUGAAAACCCGUCUCUC